AAUGAACGCUGGCGGCGUGCUUUACACAUGCAAGUCGAGCGAGGCGGGUAGCAAUACCCAGUCGAGCGGCGAACGGGUGAGUAACGCGUGGAUGACCUGCCCUGAGGUGGGGAAUAACCCGGGGAAACGUACGGGCUAAUACCGCAUAUGACCGCGAGGUCAAAGAGGGGUUGGCAAGAUCUCUUGCCACAGGAGGGGUCCGCGUUCGAUUAGCUAGUUGGUAGGGUAAUGGCCUACCAAGGCGACGAUCGAUAGCCGGCCUGAGAGGGUGAUCGGCCACACUGGAACUGAGACACGGUCCAGACUCCUACGGGAGGCAGCAGUGGGGAAUUUUGCGCAAUGGGCUAACGCCUGACGCAGCAACGCCGCGUGGAGGAUGAAGGUCCUUGGAUUGUAAACUCCUGUCAGCGGGGAAAAGCGAUUCGACCUCAUACGUCGGAGAGUUGAUUGUACCGCAGAGGACGACCCGGCUAACUCUGUGCCAGCAGCAGCCGCUGUAAC
RNAcentral lists this ribosomal RNA (501 nucleotides) under uncultured bacterium. Its description in RNAcentral is "bacterial SSU rRNA". It matches the Rfam family "Bacterial small subunit ribosomal RNA", at positions 29 to 524 of the family's 1533-position model. The record is from RNAcentral.